AAAAACAGUCACACAAUCGAACACGAAUAAAAGAACAGUGAAAAUAUAUACGAGAGAAAUUUGCAAAAACCAAAAAAAGUAGUCGAUAUUUUUACAAUACUACUUUUCUUGUCUUGUAUUUGUCUUCGUCAUUUUAGUUCUAAAAACUGCGGAGGAAAAAUUCCGUGUGAAUUUUUUUCACGUUGAAUAAAAAAAUUUGUUAAAAAAGUAUGGCGAGUCUUGGGGGCGAACAAAAAAUGUCAUCAAAUUCUCCAGCAGGCGACGUGACUAAACAGCCAGAAAGCCGAGAAGGUAGCGUUGAAAGAAAUGCAGCAGCCAAAGAGCGUGACGAUAAAUUGAAAGUUGCUAGAGAACGUCAAAAUGAAGAAAGGCAAAGAAAAAUUGAAGAAUUAAAGGCUCAAGCAGAAGCAGCACAAAGAUAUCGUGAACAAAAGGAGGAGGAACGCCGACGCAGAAUUGAAGAAAUUAGACAUCGAGAUUCUGAGAAGCGAUUACAAGUCGAAGAGCGUAAAAAAGCCAUUAUGGAAGCCGAAAAAGAACGACGUGAAUAUAUACUUAGAAAAAAUCAGGAAAGAGAAACCAGAUUGGAAUUAAAGAAACGUGAAAGAAAUUCAUAUGGAUAUGCUUUCGGUUCCUCAACACCGCGUUUAUUGGAGCCAGCUGAUUUUGGUAUGGUAUCACCUAGCACCUUUUGGGGCCAAAGACGUUCCACUUCUAUAUCUAAUGUUGCCGGUGCUUCGCUGUCACGUCGUAGUUCAGAACGUGAACUUAACGAUAGUGGUACUAAAAAGCGUGCAACAUCUGCCAGUGGCACAGAGCGACACGAUGAUCAUCGUCGCAAAUCAUCAUCCAUGUACGAGGUUUUCCAUUGGAAUGAUGAGCCACCUAAAAGAUUUUCACUUUCUAUAGUCAGUAGUGAGAUUAAUAUUGAUGGACCUCCUUCCUCCACUUUAACUGGUACAGCGGCAAAUGUCAUCAUCAAUAAGAAUAGCAACAAUAAUUGUAGCAACACCAACAACAGUAGAAACACUUCUACAGAGCACCAUCAUAAACAAUAUUCAAAUCAUAAUUUCUAUACAACAUCUUCUGCUACUGCAUCUGCUACUACUUCUACUAUUAGCAAGGAAGAUAAUGUUGAUACAUCGCACAUUGUGUUUCGAAGUGUGGCACGAAGAAAAACUGACCUUAUGCCAACUAUACCCAGUCCUAGGGAUGGACAUUACGGUUCCAGGUCGUCGUUGAGUACACCUAGAACACCAGGACGUGCAUAUUCGAUGAACCGUUUGGAUCAGUUGGCACAACCGAUUCGUCGCAAUGGCGAACAUAUACGUGCUAUAUUGGAACGUGAGCGCCGUGAACAAAUGGAAAUGUUAGAUGAAACAGAAUCUAUAAGCAGUGGACAUCAGCGUUCGGGUGCCGCUAAAAAGACGGGUAGAGGUGCAAAUAGUAGCAUAUCACGCAGUAUGACACAUUUGGCCGGUGGCGGAGCACAACAACGUCCAAAAUAUAAUUUAGGUGGGGGAAUUUCCACCAGCUUUCUACCAUUAGGUAGCGGCAGUAGGGUUGCCUGUAAAAGUAUGAUACACUUGGGCAAUGCCUGGUCUACUAGCACAUCAUCACGCUCCAAUUUAGGCUUACAAACUGCCGCCACCAAAAAAUAUCUACAAUCAUCAUUAGCUUCACCUACAUCCAACACCACUAAACGGGGCCAGCUGCAUUUCUCUACUACUAACCCCUACCGUUACGACACAGACUCAUUGUUACUCAUGAACUCUCCUAGUUUACUCCUAAACCCAGGUUCACGUUCUGGUAAUGUUACACCCGGUGGCCAAUUGACGUCUAGACCCGGUAGCUCCAUGUCCACAUCAACUACAAUGUCCACAUCUGGUUUUAUCACUAGAAGGUCGAUGCCUACUACACGCAAACCUCGCCCAUCGAGCAUAGCCGGCACUGGUGUCUCUUUAGAAGAAAUAAAUAAAUUGAAAAAGGAAAGCAAGCCGCCCAUGAAAACUAUAACACCUUCGACGUCAGCACAAACUACUCCGAAACGAUCAACGAAUAUGAUGUCCACAUCAUUGAUAGUCACAUCAUCCUCGCGUUUAUCUAGCGCUGAAAAGAAGACUCCUAAUAAGAGGGAUUCAGUAACUCCAAAGGCUACAACUCCUAAGCCGCUCUCUACGACUAGCAGCACAGAUCGUUUACAUAAAAUUAAUAGGGAGAAACCUAAAGAUUUAACGACCUCGAUGACAAGAUCAGCUAUAAUGUCGACACCGGCUAAUAAAACCGUUCCUAAAGAUAAUAAAGAACCGCUCACAAAGAGCAAAGAAGAAAAAGAGGCUUUGAAUCAGGUGAAAACGGAAGUUUUAUCGAAUAACCACAACACAGAUACAAUAAAAUCAUCCGCACAAAAAAACGGUGCUAAAGAAAGGAAAAUGAGCGGUGCAACUGCUCAAGAAGAAGAAAAGACCGAUCAGGGCACGGAAAAAGAAUCGGACGCAAUUGUACGAGAAAAACCAAAAUCUCAUAAUAGCAGCAAAGAAGGCUCACUAGUACGGGAAUUUGGCGGAGGCGAUAGCCAUGACUCAAUGACUGCUUCUAUGAUUGCUAAAAGUAAAAUUACUACAGAAGAAGAGGCUAAGGCUGCCCUGGCUGAAAGACGUCGUUGGGCUCGAGAAGAAGCUGAAAGGCAGGCGGAACUGGAACGUCAACGUCUGGAGGCUGAACGUUUGGCUGAAAUUAAGCGACAAGAGGAAGAGACAGAACGUCAGCGCCAAUUCGAGGAGGAAGCUAUACGUUUGGCUGAGGAGCAACGUGAGGCCGAAGAAGAGCGUUUGCGUCAGGCCAUUGAGGAAGCAAAACAUCGUGAAGAAGAGGAAAAACGUAAACGCGAGGAGGAUGAGAAGCAACGCUUAGAACGCGAAGAAACCGAGAAGAAGGCCAAGGAGGAAGCUGAAAAACAAAGACUCGUAGUUGCCGAACGCUUGAAACGCGAAGAAAAAGAACGUGAGGAACGACGAAAACGCGUAGAAGCUAUUAUGUCUCGCACACGCCGAGGUGGUGGUAAUAAUUCUACACCUUCAUCUACACCUUCAAAGGAAAAUAAUAAUAUAAUGAAGACGGCAGUAAUAACUCCCAAUGCAGCAACAAUAACUCCACAGGAAAAUCAAGAACAACUAACCGCAAUCCAUAAUGCAACGUCGGCAACAACUAUCACCUCGAUUUCGGUGAACAGUGACAGUAACUCAACAUCGGGUUCAUCCAGUGCUACAGCCACCACACCGACUGCUAUAAAUAAUACAGUUGCUCUGCCAGUAAUGCCAGCCUCGACAGAACAAAAUGCUGAAGAAAUUAAAUCUCAAUUUGAACCACAAAAUUCUCAGGCUAUGUAUGAGCAGUCGGUCAUUGACAAGGAGAAUUCUUUGAUCAAUAGCUUUUCAAAUCUGAUCAUUGACGAGAAUGCAAAAAAUAUUCAUCAGCAACCGCAACAACAGCAGCAACAGCAGCAGCAGCAGCAGCGCAUACAUCAUCAGUUCGUUGUUGAAGAGAAAAAUGCUAAAAAGUUGGUUGAGUUGCAAAACAAUGAAACUAAAAAUAUAUUGACAACCAAUGCUGUAGCUAAUGGAAAUGGCCAUCACAUUGAUAGUAUUAAUAAUAAAAAUGAAAUUGAUUUAAUACAAAAUGUAGUACCAACUGCAAAUCAAUUAAUUAACUUGAGCCUAGAUACCCAAGACAAUGUCAACUUUAAUAACAAUAAUAGCUUAUUGACAACAACUACUACUGCACUAGUCACUGCUGAUAGUCAUGAAAAUAAAGAUAUUUCAUUGCUGUGAGUUAAUCUUUACUUGUGAGGGAUUGAUCUAGGAUUUAUAUAUUAUUGCUUGGUGGCAUUAUACAACAUAUACAUAUGGGACGAAAAUUUCUUUUUCAAACUUUAAAAAUAAUUAUACAGUAGUAGUUAAGCAGACAUAAAAAAAAUAACGGAAAUGAUGCUUAGUUUGUAGGAAGUCUUAUUAAAAAUAAUUUCAGUUAUGUUUAGAAAAGACAAGAGAAAAAACCAAAAUAUUAAACAAUUCAACAAAUAAUUAAAAAAAGAAAGGCCAGCUAUACUAGUUAGAACAUUAUAAUACUUUGAAGCCUUUAUUAAAGGACAUGCAUAAGCAUUACUACAUAUUCAAGCAGCUAAACUCAAGCCUCCUGAAAUUCUAUACAUAUUUGAUAAUGAAAAUGCUUAAAAACAAAAACUUGUCGUGUGCCUAGUAAUUAGAGCAAAUUUUCAAAUAACAUUU
RNA transcript from Glossina fuscipes, 4286 nucleotides. It is a transcript of the gene named ensconsin, with no coding region annotated. The transcript has 16 exons. The record is from RefSeq and is a predicted model, not a curated record. Lineage: Eukaryota; Metazoa; Arthropoda; Insecta; Diptera; Glossinidae.